CAGGAGAGUACGGACGGAGGUCGUCGAUAGCGUGUUUAGCACAGAAGCCGGCUGCUGGUUUGUGACAAGAAGUGGUUAAUGCUGCACAUAGCCAAGUUACUACCGUAUUUUACCGUAGUCAUUAAAAUUAAGUACGGUAUACACAAGUCGCAGGUAUAAGCUUGUGAAAAUUGCUCGGCAGUCGCUGGUGUGAAUAUUACCAGACUAUCAGCUUAAUAAGUCAUGUUUGAAGAAUACUAACAGGAAUUCCUUACAGAAGUAUAGAAAACUGGUAGAAGCUGAACUUGGAGGAGAUCAUUUUGGAUUUCGAAGGAAUGUUAAACACGUGAGGCAACACUGACCCUAAGACUUGUCUUAAAAGAUUUUGAAAAUGGCAGCUGUGCAACAUCAGUCAAGCAAGUACCAACUGCUAUGCAUAGUUCAACUUCAGUUGGUAGGAAAUACACAGACAUUUCUCAGAAAGGUAUGCAAGAAGUUCCAGUGAGUUACCAAAGGGGUUCUGAAACU
This is a long non-coding RNA of Schistocerca cancellata (South American locust), 507 nucleotides long. RefSeq lists it as uncharacterized. NCBI's taxonomy places the organism in Eukaryota, Metazoa, Arthropoda, Insecta, Orthoptera, Acrididae. The record is from RefSeq and is a predicted model, not a curated record. The transcript has 4 exons.